GACGAACGCUGGCGGCGUGCUUAACACAUGCAAGUCGAACGGAAAGGCCCCCUUGUGGGGUACUCGAGUGGCGAACGGGUGAGUAACACGUGAGUAACCUACCCUUGACUUUGGGAUAACUUCAGGAAACUGGGGCUAAUACCGGAUAGGAGCUCCUGCUGCAUGGGGGGGGUUGGAAAGUUUCGGCGGUUGGGGAUGGACUCGCGGCUUAUCAGCUUGUUGGUGGGGUAGUGGCUCACCAAGGCUUUGACGGGUAGCCGGCCUGAGAGGGUGACCGGCCACAUUGGGACUGCGAUACGGCCCAGACUCCUACGGGAGGCAGCAGUGGGGAAUAUUGCACAAUGGGCGGAAGCCUGAUGCAGCAACGCCGCGUGCGGGAUGACGGCCUUCGGGUUGUAAACCGCUUUCGCCUGUGACGAAGCGUGAGUGACGGUAAUGGGUAAAGAAGCACCGGCUAACUACGUG
Molecule: ribosomal RNA, 465 nt
Filed under: uncultured bacterium
Lineage: Bacteria
Description: partial 16S ribosomal RNA
Rfam family: Bacterial small subunit ribosomal RNA
Source: RNAcentral